CAGUAGCCACGGUAAUACGAAGGGUGCAAGCGUUACUCGGAAUUACUGGGCGUAAAGCGUGCGUAGGUGGUGGUUUAAGUCCGUUGUGAAAGCCCUGGGCUCAACCUGGGAAUUGCAGUGGAUACUGGGUCACUAGAGUGUGGUAGAGGAUAGUGGAAUUUCCGGUGUAGCAGUGAAAUGCGUAGAGAUCGGAAGGAACAUCUGUGGCGAAGGCGACUAUCUGGGCCAACACUGACACUGAGGCACGAAAGCGUGGGGAGCAAACAGGAUUAGAGACCCCGGUAGUCCCUGUCUCUUAUAC
This 301-nucleotide ribosomal RNA is filed under the name uncultured bacterium. RNAcentral's name for it is "partial 16S ribosomal RNA". It matches the Rfam family "Bacterial small subunit ribosomal RNA", at positions 509 to 807 of the family's 1533-position model. The record is from RNAcentral.